UACCUGGUGGCGAGUGGCGAACGGGUGAGUAAUGUAUCGGAACGUGCCCAGUAGCGGGGGAUAACUACGCGAAAGCGUGGCUAAUACCGCAUACGCCCUACGGGGGAAAGCGGGGGACCUUCGGGCCUCGCACUAUUGGAGCGGCCGAUAUCGGAUUAGCUAGUUGGUGGGGUAACGGCCUACCAAGGCGACGAUCCGUAGCUGGUUUGAGAGGACGACCAGCCACACUGGGACUGAGACACGGCCCAGACUCCUACGGGAGGCAGCAGUGGGGAAUUUUGGACAAUGGGGGCAACCCUGAUCCAGCCAUCCCGCGUGUGCGAUGAAGGCCUUCGGGUUGUAAAGCACUUUUGGCAGGAAAGNAAACGGCACGGNGCUAAAUAUCCUGUGCAACUGACGGUACCUGCAGAAUAAGCACCGGCUAACUACGUGCCAGCAGCCGCGGUUAAUACGUUAGGGUGCAAAGCGUUAAUCGGAAAUUACUUGGGCGUAAAGCGGUGCGCAGGCGGUUCGNAAAAGAAAAGAUGUGANAAUCCCAGGGCNUUAACCUUGGGAACUGCAUUUUUAACUUACCGGGCCUAGAAGUUGUGUCAGA
RNAcentral lists this ribosomal RNA (595 nucleotides) under Bordetella bronchiseptica. Its description in RNAcentral is "bacterial SSU rRNA". It matches the Rfam family "Bacterial small subunit ribosomal RNA", at positions 82 to 657 of the family's 1533-position model. The record is from RNAcentral. Lineage: Bacteria; Pseudomonadati; Pseudomonadota; Betaproteobacteria; Burkholderiales; Alcaligenaceae.